Molecule: ribosomal RNA, 253 nt
Filed under: uncultured bacterium
Lineage: Bacteria
Description: partial 16S ribosomal RNA
Rfam family: Bacterial small subunit ribosomal RNA
Source: RNAcentral
UACAGAGGGGGCAAGCGUUGUUCGGAAUUACUGGGCGUAAAGGGCGCGUAGGCGGCCGCCUAAGUCAGACGUGAAAUCGCUCGGCUCAACCGGGGAACUGCGUCUGAUACUGGGUGGCUUGAAUCCGGGAGAGGGAUGCGGAAUUCCAGGUGUAGCGGUGAAAUGCGUAGAUAUCUGGAGGAACACCGGUGGCGAAGGCGGCAUCCUGGACCGGCAUUGACGCUGAGGCGCGAAAGCCAGGGGAGCAAACGGG